CAGCCGCCGCGGGAAUACGGAGGGGGCUGGCGUUGUUCGGAAUUACUGGGCGUAAAGCGUGCGCAGGCGGUUCGUUAAGUCUGUUGUGAAAGCCCCGGGCUCAACCUGGGAAUGGCAAUGGAUACUGGCGAGCUAGAGUGUGUCAGAGGAUGGUGGAAUUCCCGGUGUAGCGGCGAAAUGCGUAGAGAUCGGGAGGAACAUCAGUGGCGAAGGUGGCCAUCUGGGACAACACUGACGCUGAGGCACGAAAGCGUGGGGAGCAAACAGGAUUAGAUACCCGCGUAGUCCCUGUCUCUUAUAC
This 301-nucleotide ribosomal RNA is filed under the name uncultured bacterium. RNAcentral describes it as "partial 16S ribosomal RNA". It matches the Rfam family "Bacterial small subunit ribosomal RNA", at positions 509 to 807 of the family's 1533-position model. The record is from RNAcentral.